RNAcentral lists this non-coding RNA (30 nucleotides) under Homo sapiens (human). Lineage: Eukaryota; Metazoa; Chordata; Mammalia; Primates; Hominidae. The record is from RNAcentral.
UCAGUGUCAAAACGGCAGGUGGAGGGUGGU